This 83-nucleotide transfer RNA is filed under the name Burkholderia dolosa AU0158. RNAcentral's name for it is "tRNA-Lys". It matches the Rfam family "tRNA". From Rfam's summary of the family: Transfer RNA (tRNA) molecules are approximately 80 nucleotides in length. Their secondary structure includes four short double-helical elements and three loops (D, anti-codon, and T loops). Further hydrogen bonds mediate the characteristic L-shaped molecular structure. tRNAs have two regions of fundamental functional importance: the anti-codon, which is responsible for specific mRNA codon recognition, and the 3' end, to which the tRNAs corresponding amino acid is attached (by aminoacyl-tRNA synthetases). tRNAs cope with the degeneracy of the genetic code in two manners: having more than one tRNA (with a specific anti-codon) for a particular amino acid; and 'wobble' base-pairing, i.e. permitting non-standard base-pairing at the 3rd anti-codon position. The record is from RNAcentral. Lineage: Bacteria; Pseudomonadati; Pseudomonadota; Betaproteobacteria; Burkholderiales; Burkholderiaceae.
GGGUCGUUAGCCUCAGUUGGUAGGAGCAGCCGGACUUUUAAUCCCGUUUGGGUCCGCAGGGUCGAAUCCUGCACGGCCUACCA